This 112-nucleotide microRNA precursor is filed under the name Parachlamydia acanthamoebae. RNAcentral describes it as "MIR828". The record is from RNAcentral. Lineage: Bacteria; Pseudomonadati; Chlamydiota; Chlamydiia; Parachlamydiales; Parachlamydiaceae.
AGGAUGGUUUGCUAAAAUGGCUGUUCCCCGCACUCGUGAAGAGGAAAGGAAAAAUGCAGUAUAUAAAGCUUAUUUAGAGGCACUUGUCGUGCGGCAUUUAUUUAAAUCAGCU